This 521-nucleotide ribosomal RNA is filed under the name uncultured bacterium. RNAcentral describes it as "partial 16S ribosomal RNA". It matches the Rfam family "Bacterial small subunit ribosomal RNA", at positions 899 to 1397 of the family's 1533-position model. The record is from RNAcentral.
ACUCAAAGGAAUAGACGGGGGCUCACACAAGCGGUGGAGCAUGUGGCUCAAUUCGAGGCUACGCGAAGAACCUUAUCCUGGGCUUGACAUGUGCGAAAGCGUGAGGGGGUAGUCUCUUGGAAACUUGAGAUGAAGGUAUCCAAUCCUGAACCUCAUACAGGUGCUGCAUGGCUGUCGUCAGCUCGUGUCGUGAGAUGUCGGGUUAAGUCCCAUAACGAGCGAAACCCUUGUUUCCAGUUGCCAGCGAGUAAUGUCGGGGACUCUGGAAAGACUGCCGGUGUUAAACCGGAGGAAGGCGGGGAUGACGUCAAGUCCUCAUGGCCUUUAUGCCCAGGGCUGCACACGUGCUACAAUGCCGCGAACAAAGGGAAGCCAACUCGCAAGAGGGAGCAAAUCCCAAAAAACGCGGCCCAGUUCAGAUCGUAGGCUGCAACUCGCCUACGUGAAGUUGGAAUCGCUAGUAAUCGCAGGUCAGCAACACUGCGGUGAAUGUGUUCCUGAGCCUUGCACACACCGCCCGU